UACGUAGGCAGCGAGCGUUGUUCGGAGUUACUGGGCGUAAAGGGUGUGUAGGCGGUUGUUUAAGUUUGGUGUGAAAUCUCCGAGCUCAACUCGGAAAUGGCAUUGAAUACUAUUCCGCUAGAGGUUUGGAGGGGGGACUGGAAUUCUCGGUGUAGCAGUGAAAUGCGCAGAUAUCGGGAAGAACACCCGUGGCGAAGGCGGCUCUCUGGAACGCAACUGACGCUGAGGCUCGAAAGCGUGGGGAGCAAACAGG
Molecule: ribosomal RNA, 253 nt
Filed under: uncultured bacterium
Lineage: Bacteria
Description: partial 16S ribosomal RNA
Rfam family: Bacterial small subunit ribosomal RNA
Source: RNAcentral